ACUGAUGCAAUCAACGAGUUUUUCUCCCUGGUUCGAGAGGAUCGGGAAAUCUUCUCAAAUUGCAUCGUAAUGGGGAUAGACCAUUGCAAUUAGUGGUCUUCAAC
Molecule: non-coding RNA, 104 nt
Organism: Picea glauca (white spruce)
Lineage: Eukaryota; Viridiplantae; Streptophyta; Pinopsida; Pinales; Pinaceae
Source: Rfam